This 30-nucleotide non-coding RNA is filed under the name Mus musculus (house mouse). The record is from RNAcentral. Lineage: Eukaryota; Metazoa; Chordata; Mammalia; Rodentia; Muridae.
UAAGAGAAGAAUAUAUGUAUCUGGUUUGCA